UCACAUUGAUGCAACUUUAUUAUAAUAGACUGUUUGAAAUGUCCUAUUUUAUCAGUACUUGUUAAUCCCCUACUGUGUCUAGUUUAUAAGUUAAAGUUUAUCACAGGAAUAUAUGUACUGGAAAAAAUUAUCAUACAUAUAGUUGAGUGACAUUUCCAGUUUUAGGCAUCCCUUGGUAGGUUCUGCUCAGAGCAGAGAAACAAAUUUAUACUUAUGCCUAGAUGCUUUAACCUAAUCAACUUAACAAAGCCCAGAAGUUUGAUAAAACCAUAUUGUCAGCAAAUCUGUGAAAAAGCAAGGAGUCUUGUACGUUGUUGGUUGGCAUGUAAAUUAGAACAACCCUAAGGAAAACAACUGUGUGAUACCUACAAGAACAUGUAUAGCUUUUGGCCUAUCAACAGCACUUCAUGUAUUUACUCAUAUGGAAAUGUAUAUAGCCAAAUAAAAUACACUAAAGACCAUUCACUGUUUCAUAGUUUUUAGCAGCAGAAGAGAGGCAAUAACCUCACUGUGCUUAUCAAAGGACUAGUUUAAUAAUCAGCCUGCUGCCUAGAGAAGGCAAAAGCAGAGAUAAAAGCUUUUGGUGUGAGCUUUUGGUUACCUGAGCCAGAUGACUGGGGACAGGAAGGCCACCAGAGGCACUGGGGGGCACAGAAGUAAUAAGAGGUGCCCUGGUAGGGCGAGGUGGAGUGCCCUGGAGAACCACAAAAGAAAUUACAGUGAC
This is a long non-coding RNA of Perognathus longimembris pacificus (Pacific pocket mouse), 724 nucleotides long. RefSeq lists it as uncharacterized. Lineage: Eukaryota; Metazoa; Chordata; Mammalia; Rodentia; Heteromyidae. The transcript has 5 exons. The record is from RefSeq and is a predicted model, not a curated record.